AUUGAACGCUGGCGGCAGGCCUAACACAUGCAAGUCGAGCGGAUGAAGGGAGCUUGCUCCCGGAUUCAGCGGCGGACGGGUGAGUAAUGCCUAGGAAUCUGCCUGGUAGUGGGGGAUAACGUCCGGAAACGGGCGCUAAUACCGCAUACGUCCUGAGGGAGAAAGUGGGGGAUCUUCGGACCUCACGCUAUCAGAUGAGCCUACGUCGGAUUAGCUAGUUGGUGGGGUAAAGGCCUACCAAGGCGACGAUCCGUAACUGGUCUGAGAGGAUGAUCAGUCACACUGGAACUGAGACACGGUCCAGACUCCUACGGGAGGCAGCAGUGGGGAAUAUUGGACAAUGGGCGAAAGCCUGAUCCAGCCAUGCCGCGUGUGUGAAGAAGGUCUUCGGAUUGUAAAGCACUUUAAGUUGGGAGGAAGGGCAGUAAGUUAAUACCUUGCUGUUUUGACGGUACCAACAGAAUAAGCACCGGCUAACUUCGUG
This 484-nucleotide ribosomal RNA is filed under the name uncultured bacterium. RNAcentral describes it as "partial 16S ribosomal RNA". It matches the Rfam family "Bacterial small subunit ribosomal RNA", at positions 30 to 507 of the family's 1533-position model. The record is from RNAcentral.